RNAcentral lists this unclassified non-coding RNA (190 nucleotides) under Glomeraceae sp. RNAcentral describes it as "partial contains 5.8S ribosomal RNA and internal transcribed spacer 2". The stretch from base 1 to 71 matches the Rfam family "5.8S ribosomal RNA", at positions 84 to 154 of the family's 154-position model. The record is from RNAcentral. Lineage: Eukaryota; Fungi; Glomeromycota; Glomeromycetes; Glomerales; Glomeraceae.
GUGAAUCAUCGAAUUUUUGAACGCAAAUUGCACUCUCUGGUAUUCCGGAAAGUAUGCCUGUUUGAGGGUCAGUUAAAAUAAAAACGGGGGUGUUGGUGCUUUUCGGGGUGAAGGGACGGGAUUGAGUUGGCUUAGCUUUGGUUAAGUGAAUCAAAAUUUUGCAUGAUUUUUGAAGGAAUUUAAAUAUCGU